Molecule: long non-coding RNA, 962 nt
Filed under: Gossypium barbadense (sea-island cotton)
Lineage: Eukaryota; Viridiplantae; Streptophyta; Magnoliopsida; Malvales; Malvaceae
Description: long non-coding RNA (GBAR_LNC016340)
Source: RNAcentral
UAAAUUAUAUAUAUAUACGUUUAUUUUAUUUUAUUAUAUAUAUAGUGGGCCAAUUUAGCCCGGGGCGCAAUAAGACCAAACACCCAAAAACAAAAUAAAUAAAACCCCCAAAAAAUAUAUGUUAAACAGUCCAUUACAUAUUAAGCCCGAUAGACCCAAUUACAACCAAACCAGGCCCAAAUCCUAAACGGCCCAAUGGAGCCCAAAACUAAUUUUUUUUCAGAAACCCUAGGGUUCCUUCCCCUCCUCUCGCGCCGUUGCCCCCUUUCGGGUCACCCGAGGUGCCUCAUCCCGAGGUCUGCCUCUGUCCUCUGGUCUCUUGCACCAAAAUGGCAAGGUCACCUCCAUUGACCUUGCCUAGCCCUGCAAAACAAGACGAAGAGAAAGAAAAAAGGCAGAGAAAGAAACAGAAAAAGGUAGUAACAUGAAAACAAUGUAAUAUGGCUAUAAAAGCCAAACAAAUCAAUGUAAUAUGGAGGAAUACAUUUUCGGACAAUCGAAUACAAAGAAAACAAAAAAAAUCAAUCAAAAAAUCCAAAAGGUUUACAUCUAUUGAUUUUAGUUUUUGCUUUCGUUUUGUAGUCUGCUUUUAUUUUAUUUUAUUUGUUUUUUUUACAUACGAAAAUAAAAAAGGGAAGGAACUUACCUGUAUUCGAAUCUUCAACACCGAAGAAGGCUGAGGAAAUCACCUCCGAUGAUAGGCGGUCGGAAACUGAAGGGUUUCUUGAGCUUUUGGGACAUUUUUGUUAAUGCGUAGAAGUUUUUGAACUCAGAUUUGGGUUUAGGGGGUUUGAAAGGAUUAAACCAGUGAUUUUACCCUUUUUCGGCCACCGCAUACGGCGGCGCCGUUGCCGACGGCUGGCGGUCGACACGGUGGCCGGUGACCGAAAGUUGCCCGAACCUCUGGCUGGACUCACUGAGGAGAGAGGUGUUUUUGGAGAGAUUUCUUUUUUGUUUUUAGG